GCCGUGCCCAGCGGCACGGUAGAGGAGCCGGUUCCACCCCAACCCGCUUCUUCCCCCGCCGCCCCACCCCCAUCCUGCUUCUUCCCCGCCGGCGCCGCCCCACUCCCAACUUUCUUCUUCUGCCGCCGGCACCGGCCCACCCCCCAUCCCGCUUCUUCCCCGCCGGCGCCGCCCCACUCCCAACUUGCUUCUUCUGCCGCCGGCACCGGCCCACCCCCAUCCCGCUUCUUCCCCCGCCGGUGCCGCCGCCGCCCGGCCACGGCCUUCCCGCGCUGAGCUUCUCUUCCUCCCCUUGUUCAUGGCGCCAUCACGCCCCGUCACGGUGCAUUUGACCCUCUGCCUUCCCCUCCCCAACCCGAUUUGCAUCCACAGCGGUUCAGAUCCGCCUUCCCACCGCGCCUCCGCGCCGGAACCUUUGUCCUGCAGCCGGCGGAGGCCUCACCGCCGGAAACGCCCCCGGUGGUUGGUCGCAGCGCGCCAACACCAACCUUAGCUGCCAGGGUCCCCCGUCCCCUUCCAUGGCGACCUCUGCCUCGCGUGGGACUUGGACCACCCCACCACCAGAUCCGUCCAGGGGAGGGGGAGGUAUAGGGGCUCCGGGCAGGGGCGCUCCGGGCUGCCACCACCUCCGUGCAGGGGCAGAUCCCGCGGGUGCUCUUCCCCCUAUCUUCACCGUCGUGGCGCUCGAGCGCAGUAGAGACAGUGGUGGCGACCUUCUGCCUGCUGCCCUCUUGCUUGGGAUUCCAUGGUGAUGAAGAUGUGCAGUGCUGCCGGAUCCCACGAGCAGUGCGCCCCGCGCCCUCGUGUGGUUCAUCCACUGCCACCGGGGAUUCCCUCCCUUCCCUAACCUCUCUACACAACAGACGAGCUGCUCUUUUGUCGCUCAUGGGCGCGCGCCUGACGGGGCUGCUACUGGUCCGACCUACCACCACCUCUCAUCCCGACGACAACUACCUAUGUUUCGAGACGCCUCGCCUUGAGCUCAGUCUGGGUGUCUGUGGUGCGGUCCAGCCACAGUGGACAUGCAGUUCCGUGCUCGUGUAGGUGCAGGUCGUGGGCGCACCAGCGACGACGACAGCAACGCCUUGAUCUCCGGCGUAGUUUGUGGACUGCAGGUUCAAUGCAAUGUUGCUGAGUUCAAUGCAAUGUCAGGGUGUGGAGUGCAAGUUCUUUGAGUGGCAUGAUGAUCCAAAUACUUCAUUUCUGAAUUCGCUGCUCGGUAACUUGCGUGAUACCGUGUAUUGUCUGAAAACAGAGAAGAAACAGUUGGAGGAAUCUCGAAUCCAAGUUGAAGCUCGCAUGAACAAGGCUAUAGAUGUGGAGAUGGGCACGCGACAGAAGUAGAAGAAAUUCAUAUGAAAUUGGAAAGAUUUAGAGAGAUGUGUCAGCCUAUUGAGAAUGAUGUGCCAGUAUGUCCAGACAUAUUUGUAUGUUCAGAAAAUUGAAUAAUUUAGAAAUGUUUGUGGAGUUCAAAAACUUCUAUGUUACUGCUUGUUUGUAAGCAACUCAUUUUGUCCAAUACUAGGUGUUUUUAAGUAAUUUCAUUUCGUUCA
Long non-coding RNA from Triticum aestivum (bread wheat), 1553 nucleotides. RefSeq lists it as uncharacterized. The transcript is spliced from 2 exons. NCBI's taxonomy places the organism in Eukaryota, Viridiplantae, Streptophyta, Magnoliopsida, Poales, Poaceae. The record is from RefSeq and is a predicted model, not a curated record.